AGCAGAAAUCUGGAUGUGGACACCACUGUGGCUGAAGUUCGUGCUCAACCGCAGCCGUGCUGAAGCAGAGAGCUGGUACAAACAGAAGGUCACUUAACUUUCUUGCACUGUGUGUUUGUGUGUGCAUGUCACAAAUCAUACAUUUUUAAACAUGAUUGUUUUCUUCUUAUUAUUUUAUUUUUUUGCUUUUCUAACGAUGCACAAAUGAACAGUAAAUAUGAGUUUAUGUGUAUGGGUCUGUAUGUUCAUGAGUGCUGUAAAAUGUUAGUAUGAAGAAUGCAGAUGACAGUCGGCAAACAUGGGGAUGACCUGAAAACACAAUGUAAUGCGAUCUAAGGAUUGCACGUAUAAAUUCUGAGAUGGAACCUGUCAAGGGACAUGCAUUUAAACCAUGAAGCGCAGAUCAAAGAGGCAGAAGAAUGAGGUGAACUAGCUGUGAAAUAUGCAAAACUGCGUCUGCAGGAGCUGGAAGCAGCUCUUCUGAGAGCUAAACAUGAUAUGGCUCGUCAGGUGCGUGAGUGCCAGUCAUUGAUGAACAUCAAACUGGCUCCGGACAUUGAGAUCGCCACCUAUAGGACUCUCCUGUGAGGAGAAGAGAGCAGCCUUGAACUACGACCUUGAAAGCUGCAACUUUACAAGUGUCUCAUCACAGAGUCCUGGUAAAGAUGUUCAGAAAACAGUCCUCGAGCAGAAAGCUGUGACUGCAAAAGAUGUCAGCUCUGGCAGCAGCACUGCCACCAUCACCAAACGCAAAAAGACCACCAUCGUCACCAGUGAGAAGAAACUCGUGGCUACAGAGGGAAGUGUGCAAGGGAUGGAUAAGUCUGCAGACAAACAAGAGGAGGAUGUGUUUUGAAUGACAGAGGAGUAGAUGGGUGUGUUAUGCACAGGGUCCAGGAUCAGAUUUUUAUAGGUUGGCCUCCACCCCCUCCCCUGGGUUCAGUGAACAUCUAUAGUUUAGUUUCUGUUGCUGAGGUGUGGCAGAUUAAACUGAAUUACAAUUCAUUGCAUUAAAUAUUUAGUAUAUUUCUA
Long non-coding RNA from Carassius auratus (goldfish), 1032 nucleotides. RefSeq lists it as uncharacterized. The record is from RefSeq and is a predicted model, not a curated record. The transcript has 3 exons. NCBI's taxonomy places the organism in Eukaryota, Metazoa, Chordata, Actinopteri, Cypriniformes, Cyprinidae.